Molecule: ribosomal RNA, 253 nt
Filed under: uncultured bacterium
Lineage: Bacteria
Also listed under: 1 other name
Description: partial 16S ribosomal RNA
Rfam family: Bacterial small subunit ribosomal RNA
Source: RNAcentral
UACGUAGGUGGCAAGCGUUGUCCGGAUUUAUUGGGUUUAAAGGGUGCGUAGGCGGCCUUAUAAGUCAGUGCUGAAAUACUCUAGCUUAACUAGAGGGGUGGCAUUGAUACUGUAGGGCUUGAGUAUAGUCGAGGUAGGCGGAAUUGACGGUGUAGCGGUGAAAUGCUUAGAUAUCGUCAAGAACACCGAUAGUGUAGACAGCUUACUAGGCUAUAACUGACGCUGAGGCACGAAAGUGUGGGGAUCAAACAGG